AGCGACUAUGGAGAAGUACAGUAGCGAUGUGGCUGAUUGUAUCAUAGAGAAGGCCAAGAGGAUGUGCAGAGAUCAACAAGCUCAUCAUGAUGUGAAGCUGGAGACGAGAGUAGAGUGUGGUGAUCCAAGGGAUGUGAUUUGUGAGAUGGUGGAGAAGCUGAGUGCGGACAUGCUAGUGAUGGGAAGCCAUGGUUACGGUCUGAUCAAGAGGGCAUUUCUUGGGAGCGUGAGCAACCACUGCGCACAGAACGUCAACUGUCCUGUGUUGAUUGUGAAGAAACCAAAAUCAAGCGGUGGGAGUGGAAGCAAAUAAAUACCAAUUCCUUUUCAAUUUUUUUUUUCCUGAAAAUUGAGGACUCCUUUGUUUGUAUAUAAUUUUUAAAAGUAGAAUUCCAAUUUGAAUUUACACAUUCAAA
RNAcentral lists this unclassified non-coding RNA (416 nucleotides) under Hevea brasiliensis (rubber tree). Lineage: Eukaryota; Viridiplantae; Streptophyta; Magnoliopsida; Malpighiales; Euphorbiaceae. The record is from RNAcentral.